AAAAAAAAAAAAAACUAUGAAUCAACCUGAGAGACCUCAAUGGAGAGAAACUCGAUGAGUGGGGAUCAAAGGCACGGCAGUGUCCUACUUUUUUAAUUCAUCGGACCGGAGACAGUUUCGAAUGUCUGAAGUGACGUCACACGACGUACACAUUCACUCGCACCUAUCUUUUGCUUCAGUGCCUGAGCGGGUCGCACUGUGAAAAAUUUCCAUGAAUUGAAGGUGUUUUCCUCGCAAAAUUCCAUUAACAACUUUUUUGUUGUUGUUGGCUAUAAAUUAGAACGAAUAAAUUAAAUGAAAUGUUAAAAAA
Molecule: long non-coding RNA, 310 nt
Organism: Lutzomyia longipalpis
Lineage: Eukaryota; Metazoa; Arthropoda; Insecta; Diptera; Psychodidae
Exons: 2
Source: RefSeq, a predicted model, not a curated record